GCCCGCAUGUGGAGCCAGGUGUGGAGCCGGAGCACAGCUGGCUCUAAUUUGAGGGGC
Molecule: microRNA precursor, 57 nt
Organism: Aotus nancymaae (Ma's night monkey)
Lineage: Eukaryota; Metazoa; Chordata; Mammalia; Primates; Aotidae
Source: Ensembl